This 355-nucleotide unclassified non-coding RNA is filed under the name soil metagenome. RNAcentral's name for it is "partial contains 5.8S ribosomal RNA, internal transcribed spacer 2, and large subunit ribosomal RNA". The stretch from base 1 to 120 matches the Rfam family "5.8S ribosomal RNA", at positions 35 to 154 of the family's 154-position model. The record is from RNAcentral.
GAUGAAGAACGUAGCAAAAUGCGAUAAGUAGUGUGAAUUGCAGAAUUCAGUGAAUCAUCGAAUCUUUGAACGCACAUUGCGCCUUCUAGUAUUCUGGGAGGCAUGCCUGUUUGAGCGUCAUUAAACCUCUCUCAAGUAUGAUUACUUGGAUGUGAAGGAAGAGUACCUUAAACUUAAGGAGUGUUCUCCUUUGAAAUUGAUUAGCAGAUGGUAAUGUUAUUAAAUCCCUGAUGUUGUAAGAAAUAACAGUGGUUUUGUAGACUAUUAUCUAGCUUUAAAUUAUAAUUUUUAUUAUGGUUGACCUCAAAUCAGGUAAGGAUACCCGCUGAACUUAAGCAUAUCAAUAAGCGGAGGA